This 463-nucleotide long non-coding RNA is filed under the name Equus asinus (donkey). Its description in RNAcentral is "lncRNA (ENSEASG00005034961.1)". The record is from RNAcentral. Lineage: Eukaryota; Metazoa; Chordata; Mammalia; Perissodactyla; Equidae.
CUCUGAGCACAGAGACCUUUCUGUUCUAAUGCUGUACCUCUCACAGUCGCUGGGAAUAGUCGUCAUUCAGCACAACUUGUUUUGUGAAAAUCGAGGAGAAAGUGGUCCUGCGGUGCCCCAUGAGCUAUAUUAAGAGACUUACUAUAAGGAAUCCCUCACGUGCCUGAGGAGGCUGAGUCCCAGGAUCUGCCGUCAGCAUGCUGGAGACCUAGGAGAGCCGGUGGCGUAAGGGCCAGUCCCAGUAAGAAGGACUGAGAACCAGGAGGGCCGACGAUCCCAUGAUCUAUGACCAUGCUAACCUGCCUGGAACCCUAAACUCCCAGAACGUGGAAAUCUCCCAGAACUUGCCUUGAGAGUGAGCAACCUAGUGUAGUUUAAGAUUGCUUAUUUGAGGAGUGAUGUCGGUGACAUGAUGGAGUGAGCUCACCUGGGACUUUCUCCCCUCCAAAUUACAACCAAAAGG